UGAUACAAAAAAUGGUAUGUAAAGUAAGCCCUUCUUGUCCUGAAAAAAAACAAUAUAUAACUUGUAUGGGAACAGUAAAUGAGAGAGCGGAAAAUUACAGCUAAACACAAACACCACAAAAGUGUUAAAACCGCUCUGGUCCUUAACGUACAACAUCGCAAAAACAGGCCAGUCCUUAAGGAGUUAAAGGGAGGGGGAGCAUUAAUUUUGACAAUUUCUUCAUGCACUGUUCAAUUUUAUAUAUAAAUAUUUUAUUUUAGUUGUGUCUGGGUAGCGUGUUCUUCCCUACAAUAUGAAUUGGAUAAAUAUUCUAUAGUAGACAUAGCAAGUACUAAAACAUGCGUAGUUGUAAAGUUUUGCUUUAAACAUAAUCCAAUACUGCAAUAUAAGGAUUAUUGAAU
Molecule: non-coding RNA, 401 nt
Organism: Pelobates cultripes (western spadefoot toad)
Lineage: Eukaryota; Metazoa; Chordata; Amphibia; Anura; Pelobatidae
Source: the annotation of a GenBank genome assembly